GAAGCCUGUGGCCAUUUGGUUACUAGGCAAUGUGGUGUUUAGGUCGUUCCGCAGAGACACUGCUCCUCUCUAAGUCCAUCAAUGAGUACGGUUGUACUGACAUGGCCCACGGAGGGUGAAAGGCCCGUAAGAGAGGAGUUUUGGUGUGACAGUGUCUCUCUGGAUUGACCUUGGAGUCGGGUUGUUUGGGAAUGCAGCCCUAAGCGGGUGGUAAACUCCAUCCAAGGCUAAAUACAAGCACGAGUCCGAUAGCGAACAAGUACCGUGAGGGAAAGUUGAAAAGUACUUUGAAGAGAGAGUAAACAGUGCGUGAAACCGCUUAGAGGUAAACGGGUGGAGUUGAACUGCAAUCUUUGAGAAUUCAGCUGGGGAAUUUUGCUUGAGCUUGGUCAAUUGGGCAGGGCCUCGGGGUAUGCUUAGCUGCAUGUUCUGAUCUUCGGGUCGGAAUGCGCGUUGCUCUUAUCAAGGGCUGCGCGCCUCGGGUGUCCGGCUGGCUCAUUCGCCAGUGCACUUUCUCAGAGUGAUCACCACGACCGGCGCUGCUGCUUGGCUGUUUUAGUUAAACCGCACAUUCAUCGUCCUUGUGGCGUUGGGUGGACGACACGGCAGGUAACUGGGGGCUUGCUUCGGCUUGCUUCUCGGUGUAUGCUGGCUCUAACGGUUCUGUGCAGUGUGUCGGAGACGGCGGCUUGUGGUGUGUGCAUGCGUGCCUAUCUGUUGGCAUAUUCUGGUUUGGUGGCUGUGUGCUUGUUCAAGCAGGCCCAGUUAUAGCCGGGGUGUGUCAGUGGGUGGAUGCGUGUGUGUCACUUUUCAGGGCCUACAGUCUGUGGUGUUGUGGUAGACUAUCCACCUGACCCGUCUUGAAACACGGACCAAGGAGAGUAACAUGUGCGCGAGUCAUUGGGCGUAACGAAACCCACAGGCGCAGUGAAAGUAAAGGUCUGGCUUGUCCAGUCUAAGGUGAGAUCCUGUCGUUGUUCAUGCGUGGUACCACCAAGCUUGGAGCGAUAGGCGCAUCACCGGCCCGUCCCAUGACGUGGACAUAGUCUUCGGAUUGUGCGCCGUCGGGGCGGGGC
This 1076-nucleotide ribosomal RNA is filed under the name Crepidostomum metoecus. Its description in RNAcentral is "partial large subunit ribosomal RNA". It matches the Rfam family "Eukaryotic large subunit ribosomal RNA", at positions 116 to 815 of the family's 3401-position model. The record is from RNAcentral. Lineage: Eukaryota; Metazoa; Platyhelminthes; Trematoda; Plagiorchiida; Allocreadiidae.